This 479-nucleotide ribosomal RNA is filed under the name uncultured organism. RNAcentral describes it as "partial 16S ribosomal RNA". It matches the Rfam family "Bacterial small subunit ribosomal RNA", at positions 331 to 801 of the family's 1533-position model. The record is from RNAcentral.
GUACACUCCUGCGGGAGGCAGCAGUGGGGAAUUUUGGACAAUGGGCGAAAGCCUGAUCCAGCAAUGCCGCGUGUGUGAAGAAGGCCUUCGGGUUGUAAAGCACUUUUGUCCGGAAAGAAAUCCUUGGCUCUAAUACAGUCGGGGGAUGACGGUACCGGAAGAAUAAGCACCGGCUAACUACGUGCCAGCAGCCGCGGUAAUACGUAGGGUGCGAGCGUUAAUCGGAAUUACUGGGCGUAAAGCGUGCGCAGGCGGUUUGCUAAGACCGAUGUGAAAUCCCCGGGCUCAACCUGGGAACUGCAUUGGUGACUGGCAGGCUAGAGUAUGGCAGAGGGGGGUAGAAUUCCACGUGUAGCAGUGAAAUGCGUAGAGAUGUGGAGGAAUACCGAUGGCGAAGGCAGCCCCCUGGGCCAAUACUGACGCUCAUGCACGAAAGCGUGGGGAGCAAACAGGAUUAGAAACCCUAGUAGUCCCAUGAU